UUUCGGAUGGAAGAGAAGAUGUAGUGUUCUAGGCGGACGGACGGGUGAGUAACCGUCGUGGAGCCAACCUCGUCCUUCACGAGGGGAUAACAACAGCGAAAGUUGUACUAAUACCGCAUGAGACCACACUGGGACAUCCCAGAGGGGUCAAAGGAGCAAUCCGGUGAAGGGUGGGCUCGCGUCCCGAGUUAGAUAGUUGGUGAGGUAACGGCCCACCAAGUCGACGAUCGGUAGCCGACCUGAGAGGGUGAUCGGCCACAUUGGGACUGAGACACGGCCCAACUCCUACGGGAGGCAGCAGUGGGAAUAUUGGGCAAUGGGGGAAACCCUGACCCAGCAACGCCGCGUGAGGGAAGAAGGUUUUCGGAUCGUAAACCUCUGUCCUUGGUGAAGAGUGAGAGACGGUAGCCAAGGAGGAAGCCCCGGCUAACUACGUGCCAGCCGCCGC
This 448-nucleotide ribosomal RNA is filed under the name uncultured bacterium. RNAcentral's name for it is "bacterial SSU rRNA". It matches the Rfam family "Bacterial small subunit ribosomal RNA", at positions 75 to 518 of the family's 1533-position model. The record is from RNAcentral.